GACGAACGCUGGCGGCGUGCUUAACACAUGCAAGUCGAACGGAAAGGCCCUGCUUGCAGGGUACUCGAGUGGCGAACGGGUGAGUAACACGUGGGUGAUCUGCCCUGCACUUCGGGAUAAGCCUGGGAAACUGGGUCUAAUACCGGAUAGGAGCCAUUUUUAGUGUGAUGGUUGGAAAGUUUUUUCGGUGUAGGAUGAGCUCGCGGCCUAUCAGCUUGUUGGUGGGGUAAUGGCCUACCAAGGCGGCGACGGGUAGCCGGCCUGAGAGGGUGGACGGCCACAUUGGGACUGAGAUGCGGCCCAGACUCCGACGGGAGGCAGCAGGGGGGAAUAUUGCACAAGGGGCGCAAGCCUGAUGCAGCGACGCCGCGUGGGGGAUGACGGCCUUCGGGUUGUAAACUCCUUUCGCUAGGGACGAAGCUUUUUGUGACGGUACCUAGAUAAGAAGCACCGGCUAACUACGUG
This 465-nucleotide ribosomal RNA is filed under the name uncultured bacterium. RNAcentral's name for it is "partial 16S ribosomal RNA". It matches the Rfam family "Bacterial small subunit ribosomal RNA", at positions 28 to 507 of the family's 1533-position model. The record is from RNAcentral.